RNAcentral lists this non-coding RNA (26 nucleotides) under Mus musculus (house mouse). Lineage: Eukaryota; Metazoa; Chordata; Mammalia; Rodentia; Muridae. The record is from RNAcentral.
UCACAGGAGCCACACUAACUCAAUCU